This 457-nucleotide ribosomal RNA is filed under the name uncultured bacterium. RNAcentral describes it as "partial 16S ribosomal RNA". It matches the Rfam family "Bacterial small subunit ribosomal RNA", at positions 338 to 795 of the family's 1533-position model. The record is from RNAcentral.
CCUACGGGAGGCAGCAGUGGGGAAUAUUGCACAAUGGGGGAAACCCUGAUGCAGCGACGCCGCGUGAGUGAAGAAGUAUUUCGGUACGUAAAGCUCUAUCAGCAGGGAAGAAAAAAAGUCCGUUGGACUUUGGACGGUACCUGACUAAGAAGCCCCGGCUAACUACGUGCCAGCAGCCGCGGUAAUACGGAGGUGGCAAGCGUUAUCCGGAUUUACUGGGUGUAAAGGGAGCGUAGACGGCAGCGCAAGUCUGGAGUGAAAUGCCGGGGCCCAACCCCGGAACUGCUUUGGAAACUGUGCAGCUGGAGUGCAGGAGAGGUGAGCGGAAUUCCUAGUGUAGCGGUGAAAUGCGUAGAUAUUAGGAGGAACACCAGUGGCGAUGGCGGCUUACUGGACUGUAACUGACGUUGAGGCUCGAAAGCGUGGGGAGCAAACAGGAUUAGAUACCCGUGUAGUC